GUAAUUUAUUGGCCCUGUUUUACUUUUUAUUUCAGCUGGACCCUCCCACUUGGGCGCUAGCUUGGCAGAGAAUUUGUUUGAGGAACUAGAGAGAGGAUGAGUUUUAAUCAAAAGGAAUAAGCAGCUUGAUCUGGUGAAGGUGGUUGGUGGAUAAGACGUUCCAGUGGUCCUAGAAUUUGCCUACCCAGCAUGAGCUCUGUAGGAGACUUUCCUGUUGUUUCUUGCUGGGCGGUGUUAAUGGCAUAGCGGAAUUCAGAUCGCCCAGAAGGCUGGAAGUGAAUUGGGGGCCCCUAUCGGACACCAGGUAUUUGGGUACCCCCCAACGAGUGAAUAUCUCCUCCCGCAGAAUCUUCACUAUUUUCUGGGUCUUACUGUCUCUGAGUGGGAACAUUUCUACCCACUUUGUGAAAUAAUCCACAAUGACAAGGAGGUACGUGUUCUGUUUUUUACUGUUGGGGAAGGGUCCCAUAAGGUCCACCCCUAACGUGUGUCCAGGUUCUGUGAUCAAUGUGCUCUGCAUCAAUCCCGAUUGUUUGGUAUUGCUGGGCUUGUAUUUCUGGCAUAUCUCACAGGUUUUAAUGUAUUGGCAGACGUCCUUCCGGACAGACGGCCACCAUGCCACGUCUAGGAUCUUCAGCAGAGUUUUCAACCGUCCAAGAUGACCUCAGAGUGGAUUAUCAUGAUAGUAAUGCAUGAAAUCAGAUGUUAAGGAAUGUGGUACUACCAGUUGAUAUUUCACUCCUUGAUUUUUCAUAGGAACUCUGCGGUACCACACCCCUUGGAGGUCUUCAAAGGUGAUGGGUUGGUCUUUGACUGUUCGAGGGUUCAUGUUAGACUGCAGGUGAGAGAUGGUAUCAUCCAAACUUUGAGCUUUUAUUAUUUCUUCCAGAGAUUGAGGUAAUGUAGAUGCAUUGUGUGAAGACGUGAUCAGGCAAGGAGCAUCAUCAGCAAUAGGUUUCUCCAGGACCCGGGACAAUGCGUCAGGUCCCUGAUUGAGGCAACCUUUCCUGUGAUGAACUUGAAAACUGAACUGUUGCAGGCGGAGUGUCCAGCGGGUAAGGCGUGAGGAUGUUUUAGGGCAGUUGAACGCCCAUGCAAGUGCCGCAUGAUCUGUGAAGACUUCGAAGGUUUUUCCCUCCAGUUAGGGUCCGUGAUGCAUAGGCUACCACCUUUUCUCCCUCCUCUGAAUGCUGAGUGAGGAUGGCACCCAUUCCUACCUCACUUGCGUCCAUAUGAACCUGGAAGGGUUGGUUAAUGUCAGGUUGUAUCAACACUGGUGAGUUUUGUAAAGCUUGUAUAAGUGCAUCCAUACUAGACUGACACUCUGGCGUCCACUCCCACUUAACUCCUUUCUUUUUGAGGUGGUUCAAUGCCAGCAAUGUCAGCGAAGUGGGAAAUAAACUUAUGAUACCACCCUGCCAGUCCCAGAAAUCGUUGCAAGGCUUUCAGAUCUUGUGGUGGGGGGAACUCUGCAAUGGCUCUGGUCUUCUCUCGGUCAAUCUCUACUCCCCUCUCAGAGACUAUAUGGCCGAGGAAUUUGAGCUGACUCUUGAAGAAGUGGCAUUUCUUCAUAUUCAGCGUCAGAUUGGCUUGGUCUGUAACAGCCUUGGCGGAGGUUUUUCGCGCGAUCGAUCGCAAAUCCCCUUGAGCAUCAACGUGUCACUCCAGAACGGCGGUUUCCCGGCUCCAUUUAAACGGAAGAAAAAGUCACACAGCUGAUUUGGAGUGACGUCACUGGGAAUUCCUUGGAGCUACGCGACAGAACUCUCACCAGCAUUACGUUCAGCGAUGCACGCUGUUACUUCAAUAGAAACAGGUUUAAGAAACUGAGUGCAGGCCUGAAUACGGCCCAGCUCACGGGCAUCAUUUCUAAAGUGAUCAAUUGGAAUUGACAAGGAGCACAUGGAUAUUGUAGAAGUUAAACAAGGAGGAAAAGCUGUAUGAGGAGGCAGUUGUCAGCCUGGCUUCACUGAAGAGCUGUUUUAACAGGCUGAACGUCACUGCCUGAAAUGCCAGCAUAUCAGGUUUUGCCUCCACUGUCACUGUGCUAUCCAGUGGAGAACAGUUGCCACUAGCUCUGAAGGCAAAUUUUCAAAUUUUUAUUGUAUUGUUCAGUUUAAGUCCAUUUUUGCAUGUACUUGGAAGCUUCUGUUAUUGAACAAAUAUAAAUGUAUUAUUUCCUUAAGUGUGCAUAUGUCAAUAAACCUAUUUCUGAUUAUGAUUUAAUAGAUCAGGGGAUUGUUAAGAAAAUGAAAUGCUCACAAGCUGGUAUGUACAUAUUCCAGAAAUGAAUGCAAAUGCAUGGGUAAUUCCAUCAAGUAAAGGUAAAUUAAUGUAUAUACUAUAUACUGCAUAUGAACUUGUGUGUACAGCCGUUGCCAAAAGUAUUGGCAGUGACAUAUAUUUUGUGUUUUGCAAAGUUUGCUGCUUCAGUGUUUGUAGAUAAUUUUUUCACAUGUUUCUAUGGUAUACUGGAAAACAAUGAUAACUAUUUCAUAAGUUUGAAAGGCUUUUAUUGGCAAAAAAAUUCAAUAUAUGCAAAGAGUCAAUAUUUACAGUGUUGACCCUUGUUCUUCAUAACCUCUGCGAUUCGCUCUGGCAUGCUGGACAUCAGCUUCUGGGCCAAAUCCUGACUGAUGGAGAUCCAUUCUCACCUUAUUAGUGCUCGGAGUUGAUCACAACUUGUGGGCUUCUGCUUGUCCACUAGCCUUUUGAGGAUUGACCACAGGUUCUCAAUGGGAUUAAGUUCUGGGGAUUUGCCUGGCUUCGGACCCAACAUUUCAAUGUAAUGAUCUCCGAGUCACUUCAUUAUCACUCUUGCCUUGUGACAUGGUGCUCCAUCAUGCUGGAAAAUGCACAGAUCAUCACCAAAUUGCUCCUGGAUCGUUGGGAGAAGUUGCUCUUGCAGGAUGUUUUGAUACCAUUCUUUAUUCAUGGCAGUGUUUUUGUGCAGAAUUGUGAGAGGUCCCACUCUCUUGGCUGAAAAGAAACCCCACACAUGGAUGGUCUCAGGAUGGUUUCACUGUUGACACGACACAUGACUCAUGGUAGCAUUUACCUUUUCUUCUCCGGACAAUUGAUUUUCCAGAAGUCAAUUUCCUUGCAUGUGAGGACAUUUUGAUGCAAAGCGAUGAUGGCUGCACAUCUUUCUUUAGAGGUAAUCAUUGCUAACAAGAACACAAUGAUUGGAAGCACUUCUUCCCUCCUUUUAUAGCAAUCUGUCUGCUCUUAUAAUCCAUUCAUAAGGAUAGAGUGAUUUCACCUGACUAGUACUCGUUCACACUUUCUCAGGUGCUGCUGAUAUGAUUAGUGAAAUGAUGUUAGCUGGUCAUUUUGAGCCAGGACCAAAAAAAUCUAUUUAUAUUUGUGAUAAAGUACAUUUGUUUUGGCCAAUGAAGCUUUCUGAAAUUAUUUAAAAUGCAUCUGAUCACUCUGCACAAUAAUCUAGAAACAAUGUGAAUCAUCACCACAACAACUGAAGCAGGAAAAUGUGUGAAACACAACAUUUAUGUCACUGCCAAUACUUUUGGCCACAGCUGUAUAUAUACACUAUACUACAUUUUUAUAUUUGGUUCUUCUGGGUUUAUUUUGAAGAGGUACUGUCUAGUUACAAUAUCAACACAAAGCUAGUCAUUUUUAUGAACAAUCACAGAUCUCAGUGAUUAUAACUUUAAAACCUGUCGAUGUGCAUGCACCCCUCCCAGAACUGAUGUCACUUUGCUUAAAUUACUUCAUAUUUACUAUAUAGUCUAGUCAAAAAGAGUUAAUAAUGUUGACAAAUUAUACAGAUGUAUAAUGCACCUCGCUCUCACAAGGUUUUUUUGGCAUACGUCACCAUGACAACACAGCAAGUUGGGCAGAUUUCUAACCGGCAUGCACCUGCCGCUGAUCACUUGUGAUUGGUUCUGCGCAGAACUUGCUCAUCUCAAAUGAGCCUAAUGAUUGGGCGUUUGUUACAUGGUAAGCCCGUUUGAGAGCUCCACCAAUCAUCAGAUAUAGAAGUCAGGCUUCCAGGCAGGAUAGAAAUACACUGUCCAAAAAAUAGUCAGAUCAUUUCUCUCAUGCAAAUAGGACCCAUGAAGAUCCCAUAGACACCCAGAGACACACGCCAUGUGGAAAGGACCCAAAAUGACACAUUUAUAGCAUCUUGUCCAAAUAAUAUCAAUCUUUUACUCCACUGACCUCAAUUGGACAUGGCACGGCUUCAAUAGGCUCUAUGGGUCGUGUGUCCACAAACUCCGAUGGACACAAUAAUUCAGAUAACAUCAAGUGUUGUAUGCUGUUGCACACUUUUGUUAUUUAUAGGGACAGUUUACCCACAAAUGAUAUAAUUUACUCACGUUCAUAACAUCCCAGAUGUGUGUGACUUUCUUUCUUCUGCUGAACACAAUCGAAGAUUUUUAGAAGAAUAUUUCAGCUCCGUAGGUCCAUACAAUGCAAGUGAAUGGUGAUCAGACCUUUGUAGCUCCAAAAUCAAAAAGGAAACAGAGAAGUAAUGUUAAGACUCCAAUGGUUAAAUCCAUAUCUUCAGAAGCAAUAUAAUAGGUGUGGGUGAGAAACAGAUCCACAUUUAAGUCCCUUUUCCCCUCUAAAUCUCCACUUUCACUCUCACAUCUGAAAGUCAAAUGUUGUGCCUGUUUAGAUUCACUUUCACAUCUGAAAAUGAAAGUGGACAUUUAUAGUAAAAAAGGACAUAAAUUUUGAUGUAUUUUCUCAACCACACCUAUAAUAUUACUUCAGAAAACAUGGAUUUUAACAUGGGAGUCUUAUGGAUUACUUUUAUGUUUCCUUUAUGGGAUUUUUGGAGCUACAAAGGUCUGAUCACCAUUCACCAUCACCAUUCUAUGGACCAACAGAGCUGAGAUAAAUCUUAAUUUGUGUUCAGCAGAAGAAAGUCACAGCAUGUAAAUGAUGAAAUUAUUUUCAUUUGUGGGUGAACUAUCCCUAUUGAACUGGGGGAAUAAUUAUCAAAAUUAUAGAGAAGUUAUAUGCAAUUUGAUAACACGCCAUUGUGCAAUUUUUAUAAAAUUUUAAGGGAAGGCGUAAUUUCCCUGUUGUCUUAAAGCAAUCGCCUCGGGUAAGUAGCUAUGUUGACAUGAUUGACUGACAUUUCUUCUGUAAGAAACUCAUAAACUGUUUGCAACCUCUUGCUCUAUCUCCGCUCAUUCCAUCGCUAUAUUCCAUUCCAUAUU
Molecule: long non-coding RNA, 5192 nt
Organism: Xyrauchen texanus (razorback sucker)
Lineage: Eukaryota; Metazoa; Chordata; Actinopteri; Cypriniformes; Catostomidae
Exons: 9
Source: RefSeq, a predicted model, not a curated record